AUUGAACGCUGGCGGCAGGCUUAACACAUGCAAGUCGAGCGGGGUGAUGGUGCUUGCACUAUCACUUAGCGGCGGACGGGUGAGUAAUGCUUAGGAAUCUGCCUAUUAGUGGGGGACAACAUCUCGCAAGGGAUGCUAAUACCGCAUACGUCCUAAGGCAGCUAGCAGGGGAGCACUAGUGAGCUUGCGGUAAUAAAUGAGCCUAAUUCGGAUUGGCAAGUUGUGGGGGUAAAGGCCGACCAAGGCGACGAUCUGUGGCGGGUCUGAGAGGAUCAUCCGCCCCACUGGGACUGGGACAAGGCCCAGACUCCUACGGGAGGCAGCAGUGGGGAAUAUUGGACAAUGGGGGGAACCCUGAUCCAGCCAUGCCGCGUGUGUGAAGAAGGCCUUAUGGUUGUAAAGCACUUUAAGCGAGGAGGAGGCUCUUUUGGUUAAUACCCAAGAUGAGUGGACGUUACUCGCAGAAUAAGCACCGGCUAACUCUGUGCCAGCCGCCGCCGUAA
This 503-nucleotide ribosomal RNA is filed under the name uncultured bacterium. Its description in RNAcentral is "partial 16S ribosomal RNA". It matches the Rfam family "Bacterial small subunit ribosomal RNA", at positions 30 to 523 of the family's 1533-position model. The record is from RNAcentral.